RNAcentral lists this ribosomal RNA (813 nucleotides) under Microbacterium sp. RKEM 1778. RNAcentral's name for it is "bacterial SSU rRNA". It matches the Rfam family "Bacterial small subunit ribosomal RNA", at positions 38 to 863 of the family's 1533-position model. Lineage: Bacteria; Bacillati; Actinomycetota; Actinomycetes; Micrococcales; Microbacteriaceae. The record is from RNAcentral.
GGCGGCGUGCUUAACACAUGCAAGUCGAACGGUGAAGCCAAGCUUGCUUGGUGGAUCAGUGGCGAACGGGUGAGUAACACGUGAGCAACCUGCCCUGGACUCUGGGAUAAGCGCUGGAAACGGCGUCUAAUACUGGAUAUGAGGCGUGGCCGCAUGGUCAUGUUUGGAAAGAAUUUCGGUCUGGGAUGGGCUCGCGGCCUAUCAGCUUGUUGGUGAGGUAAUGGCUCACCAAGGCGUCGACGGGUAGCCGGCCUGAGAGGGUGACCGGCCACACUGGGACUGAGACACGGCCCAGACUCCUACGGGAGGCAGCAGUGGGGAAUAUUGCACAAUGGGCGGAAGCCUGAUGCAGCAACGCCGCGUGAGGGAUGACGGCCUUCGGGUUGUAAACCUCUUUUAGCAGGGAAGAAGCGAAAGUGACGGUACCUGCAGAAAAAGCGCCGGCUAACUACGUGCCAGCAGCCGCGGUAAUACGUAGGGCGCAAGCGUUAUCCGGAAUUAUUGGGCGUAAAGAGCUCGUAGGCGGUUUGUCGCGUCUGCUGUGAAAUCCCGAGGCUCAACCUCGGGCCUGCAGUGGGUACGGGCAGACUAGAGUGCGGUAGGGGAGAUUGGAAUUCCUGGUGUAGCGGUGGAAUGCGCAGAUAUCAGGAGGAACACCGAUGGCGAAGGCAGAUCUCUGGGCCGUAACUGACGCUGAGGAGCGAAAGGGUGGGGAGCAAACAGGCUUAGAUACCCUGGUAGUCCACCCCGUAAACGUUGGGAACUAGUUGUGGGGACCAUUCCACGGUUUCCGUGACGCAGCUAACGCAUUAA